GUGGAGUCGACGUGCUACACAUGCAGUCGAACGAGAUCUCAUCAAGCUUGCUUGGUGGUGAGAGUGGAGAACGGGUGAGUAAUGCGUGACCGACCUGCCCCAUGCACCGGAAUAGCUCCUGGAAACGGGUGGUAAUGCCGGAUGCUCCAGUUGAUCGCAUGGUCUUCUGGGAAAGCCUUUGCGGCAUGGGAUGGGGUCGCGUCCUAUCAGCUUGAUGGCGGGGUAACGGCCCACCAUGGCUUCGACGGGUAGCCGGCCUGAGAGGGCGACCGGCCACAUUGGGACUGAGAUACGGCCCAGACUCCUACGGGAGGCAACACUGGGGAAUAUUGCACAAUGGGCGCAAGCCUGAUGCAGCGACGCCGCGUGAGGGAUGGAGGCCUUCGGGUUGUAAACCUCUUUUGUUAGGGAGCAAGGCAUUUUGUGUUGAGUGUACCUUUCAAAUAAGCACCGGCUAACUACGUGCCAACAGCCGCGGUAAUACGUAGGGUGCAAGCGUUAUCCGGAAUUAUUGGGCGUAAAGGGCUCGUAGGCGGUUCGUCGCGUCCGGUGUGAAAGUCCAUCGCUUAACGGUGGAUCCGCGCCGGGUACGGGCGGGCUUGAGUGCGGUAGGGGAGACUGGAAUUCCCGGUGUAACGGUGGAAUGUGUAGAUAUCGCUAAGAACACCAAUGGCGAAGGCAGGUCUCUGGGACGUUACUGACGCUGAGGAGCGAAAGCGUGGGGAGCGAACAGGAUUAGAUACCCUGGUAGUCCACGCCGUAAACGGCGGAUGCUAGAUGUGGGGCCCGUUCCACGGGUUCCGUGUCGGAGCUAACGCGUUAAGCAUCCCGCCUGGCCAGUACGGCCGCAAGGCUAAAACUCAAAGAAAUUGACGGGGGCCCGCACAAGCGGACGAGUAUGCUGAUUAAUUCGAUGCACGCGAAGAACCUUACCUGGGUUGACAU
Molecule: ribosomal RNA, 945 nt
Filed under: Bifidobacterium breve
Lineage: Bacteria; Bacillati; Actinomycetota; Actinomycetes; Bifidobacteriales; Bifidobacteriaceae
Description: bacterial SSU rRNA
Rfam family: Bacterial small subunit ribosomal RNA
Source: RNAcentral